RNAcentral lists this long non-coding RNA (1364 nucleotides) under Homo sapiens (human). RNAcentral describes it as "non-protein coding lnc-GDF6-4:1". The record is from RNAcentral. Lineage: Eukaryota; Metazoa; Chordata; Mammalia; Primates; Hominidae.
UUUCCUGAAUGCCUGGUAAGCAACAGCAUCAGUGGGAGUUGGGCAGGAGGGAAGCAGGAAGGUCCUUUGGAGCAUGCAGAUUUGAGCCUCAGCACUUUUUACCCUAGCUCUUGAAAUGCAUCAUGAUUUCUGUUCAGUGGAUGGUAAAGUUUAUCUAGGUUAUCUUGGAAAAAUGGCAACAAAACUUAAUUGGAAUGGGCUUUCGCUACUAAGGACCACUCUGAAGUGUGUAGGUUGCUAGAAAUCCUCCCGACUUAGCUUUUUUUGAAUUUGAACCCAAGAUGCGGCUGAAGCUGUAUGAGAGCUAGAUGGAAGAUCGCUGUGUAGCUGCCCUGUGAGUAGAAAUGAUGGCCCACCUAUCUCUUGGGACUGUCACCCUCGAGAUGAUCAUCGUAGGAGUCCUCCACCUCUCCGCAGAUGUCCAAGAAGGAAAAGCUUCUCUCACAGGGGGAGUAUCUUCUUUUCUAGAGAUAGGAGAAAACACAGAGAUCACUGUCUUGGGAGAGAAAUCACAAGCCGUCCCGAUCCUUCUCUAGGUCUCAGUCAGUUUAAGUUGAAUGAAAGGAAAUAGAAGACCAGUUUGCAAGAGAAGUUGUAUGCAGGAAAUAACUUCAUUUGACGAGAGUAUGUGCAGAAAACUCAAGUUUUGUUUGAGACUUCAUAAGCAUGGUACAUUUUAAAUAUGUUUUAACUUUUCAAAUUUGUUUGCCUUUGGGAACAGUGACACACAAAGGUGCAAUUCUCUGUGGUUUGAAAUAGAUUCUGUGAAGCAUGUAACACCAAGAAUUGCUACUUUAUGAUGUUCCCUUAAGCAAAAUCGAAUUUGCUUUGAACUUUAGUUAUGCAUAGACUGAUAAUAAACCUCUAAAUUCUGCCUAGUAGAAAUGUAAUUUUUUAAAAAAUACAGAAACAAAACUGGCAAAAGUGGAACUAAGAUUUACUUUUUUUCCAUAGCUGUGAUAUAGUAUGCAGCUAUAGUUAAGCAAGUGGUAAAAGUUGCUGUGGAACACAAGCCAAUGGAUAAAAAGAAAAGCUGCAACAUCAAACUAAAUUAGAGGUUUUUGAGAAAUCCAACUGGUUUUCACCCUGGGAGAGGUUGCCAAGUUGGUAUAGAAUCUGUUAAAUUUCAAGUAAGUUUACCUUUACUUUAGGUCAUAAGUUCCUUAUGUAAUUGCUAUAUAUGAAGACAUGCCUGUUUGUAACAUUCUUCACUAGGAAAUUUGAGAUUUCAAAAUACCAAUGUCCUGCCAGUUUAAGGGUAUUUUGUAGAAGUGAACUUUGAGUUACUAUGCAAAAAUUUGUUUUCAUGCUGUCAUUUGUAAUAUGUUUUGUGAGAAUCCUUGGGAUUAUAGUUUUGCUUACAA